GCUGGUUUUCUUUUUAAUUAGUUAAUGCCAGCCCAGUGUUGACUGGACUCCCAUUUGACAACUCUCAGCACUUUGCAGGUGAGUUCAUGGGAAUCCUACCCAACUGUGCUCUCAGGAGCAGAGGAAAUUGCAGAGUUUUUGGGUUUGGGUUUUUGGUUUGGGGGGGGGGGGGUUGCCAACUCCCAUUUAUAAAUUUUGCUUCUGCAUCGGCUGGUCUUUUCUCUGCCAGUUGUCUGGUUUGGAACAUGCACCAAAAGUGAUUUCCUUCAAUACCCAACGCAGCAGAGAAAAAGCUUUGACAAGACACUUAAGAACUGCAGAGGAACACCCUCUCUAGACCUUGCUUCUUGCAUAUUAGUGAUUUUUCUAAGAAAUUGGAAGGCCUGGCUUAGGAUGCUGCUCUAAUAAGAACUGGGCACCAGCUCAAUUAUGCAGCUGUCUUGGUUUUGCACUUCCAAGCUGUGUGUUAGACAGCUGAACUUCUGCACAGGAGUCACACAAAGUUUUCUUACAGUAUGAAAUGCAGCAAGGCAAUCAAAGUUAGCGACUGCUGAGGAAGAAGUGGUAACAGAACCUCAGCUGGCCAUUCUUGUGCAGGAAACAUCUUUAAUAUACACCUCCCUCAACAUUUAUCCCCUGAGGAAGCCUGCUUGACCUCCACUUAUCUAAAAUGAGAAGCAGAAGUUUGUGAGGAGUUGGUUGUCCUUAAGACCAAAGUCGACGGAGUGCCUUGCUGUCCUGUUCCCCACAAAUGUACUCUUUUGCUGGAAAGGACUCUUGAGGACUCGGGAUCCUGUUGGUCUGUGGAAAUCUUUCCCCUUGCUAACUCCCUCCCACCACUUCAGGCCUGCUCUGUAAGGAGUUCACGAACCUUCUCCGGAUCAUCAGGGCUUGAUGCAAUCAACUGUGAAGCAUUAGCUCUAAAUAUACAACUGGGAGGCCAGUUCUGCUUCAACACACAAAGGCUCAUCGCAAAGGAUGAUAAAGCAGUGAGCGCAAUUUGCAAGAGAAACUUAAAUAAUAAUCCAAGUCAGCUGCAAGGAAAGCAGGAGCAAGUGGGGGCUAACCAACGUUUUACCCGUUGGAGAUGGCUAAAGUUAGGGGCAAACUGGCAGGAGCCUCAGAAAGCAGGCCCACCCACAGCCGUUAUGUGGAGCAGCUUUUGUCCUUAUUUGCGAAGCUAAAUGCAGAAGCUCAUUCCGCUUUAUUUACUUGUUUAGGUGAUUUUUGGCAGCUCACCCUGUGUUCCUGGUGCAAAUCCUCAGUGCGUGGACAGAUAAUUGAAAAACAGCUGCAGUGGGCCAAGAGACCCAGAAUUCAACUUGUACAAGGAAAACAAACAGGAAAUACUUGAGAGUUUUGGGAAGGUCUCCCACAGCUCUGCCCUCAGUCCAGCAUGUGAAGUCCUCAAAAUCCAAAUGCCCAUUUCCACGGGGAAGCUUGCAACAGAGACCUCAAGGCCAGAUUCAACGGGACACUUAGGCACUGCUCCCAUAACAGAGGAAGGAAAUGGGGUACCUCUCUGCCUUGCAGCCCAACUGUAAGGAAAAGUUGUGUUAAGUAAGUCUGUCAUUUUUCUCAUUCAAAGGGAGCAUCCGAAUCCAGGGUUAGCACCUGGAAGACUCUGCGAUGCUCCAGGAUCAGGCCCUCCCAAUUUCUCCUGCUGAAACUGUUUCUGCUACAAACCACAGUAAAGCAAGUGAACAACAGACCCUGGAGCACGUGACAACCAUCUCCUCAUUGCGGAUGAGCAUCAGAGUUGUCUUCUCACCCCUCCGCUCACUUUUUUGGUAAAUAGUGCCCAAAUCUCACUUUAUUUGAGGCCCGAGAGGCUCUGCAAGUUAUUUGGAGUCAUUGGAGAUUUGUCUUGUCCUUGGAUAAACUGUCUGAAAUAUUUCAAUACACUUCAGUCUUGAGUUGACCCAAA
Molecule: long non-coding RNA, 1927 nt
Organism: Harpia harpyja (harpy eagle)
Lineage: Eukaryota; Metazoa; Chordata; Aves; Accipitriformes; Accipitridae
Exons: 4
Source: RefSeq, a predicted model, not a curated record